RNAcentral lists this long non-coding RNA (4042 nucleotides) under Capsicum annuum. Its description in RNAcentral is "long non-coding RNA (CANN_LNC005860)". The record is from RNAcentral. Lineage: Eukaryota; Viridiplantae; Streptophyta; Magnoliopsida; Solanales; Solanaceae.
CACGCAUCGAAGUUUUUGCUAGGGUUUUAGCUGCUUUCCCUGAGAUUGUAAAGGAACUGGGUUGGUCGGAGAAACAGAAAGUUCAGUCAUGGCUAGCACUAAAGUUUAAAGGAUUAUGACCCAUCCCAUUGAAAUUUCCCUGAGAGAAACAGCAAGUUCAGCCAUGGAUAGCACUAAAGUUCAAAGGAUUAUGACCCAGCCCAUUGUAAUUUCCCUGAGAUUGUAAAGGAACUGGGUUGGUCGGAGAAACAGCAAGUUCAGCCAUGGCUAGCACUAAAAUUCAAAGGAUUAUGACCCAGCCCAUUGUAAUUUCCCUGAGAGAAACAGCAAGUUCAGCCAUGGCUAGCACUAAAGUUCAAAGGAUUAUGACCCAGCCCAUUGUAAUUUCCCUGAGAUUGUAAAGGAACUGGGUUGGUAAGCGAAACAGCAAGUUCAGCCAUGGCUAGCACUAAAGUUCAAAGGAUUAUGACCCAGCCCAUUCUAAGUCCUCUUGGUAAAUAUCUCAACAUUCAACCAAGUGUGCCAUUUAGCCUUCUUGUAACAUGGGUGCCAACUGAUAAUAUUAUACCAAUUUUAGAAAAUAUAUACAUAAAAUAUCUAGUUUUACGGAGGGACCGCGGGUUCACAUGCCCCAUAAUUUACCGUAUAAAUUCGCCAUUGCUUUCAAUAAUGUACCCAAAGGUUCUAGUUAUUGGAAUGCGUAAUAAUUUCCUUUAAGGAAUUAUCUAGGUUGUGCUUCUAGAUUCUAUCUUAAUGUGAGAUAGGUGCCACAAAUUUGUGAAAUUUGCAACACAGAGUCUCUGUCUGUCAUGACUUCCUUUUAGGAGGAGGUAUAGGACCAUUCACUUCCAACCUUGAGGUUUGGGGUUUGAGUCACUUUAGAGUCAAAGAGGGAAACACUAGUUUUGAUUCUUUGUCUUGUGGGGUUUACCGUAUAAGUAAUGAGAUGCAUUUCCUUACUCUGCUAGGGACGAAUGCUGUUUAGUCAUCACUUUCUUCUUUCUUGGACUUCUAAUUUCUUAUUGAUUCCAUGUUUGCAUUUUCUGCUAAAAUUUAAGACUAUUAUAACCAAUGACUAGUUUAAAAUACCGGUUAACUAUCUUUAUCAAAUAUUUUCUUAAGAUAUAAGAUAGGUUUGAUCUUUAGUAAAGCCUUCAAGAGUUUAUACAUGUUUUUUUAGUGAACUAGGUUCAGUGUAGUAGAUCGUGGAAGGAUUGAGUUUCUGUAAUGGAGUUCUCAAUUAAAAAAAAAUGAAGUAUUUGGUUAUAAAUUUGGAUUAAAUUUUCCAACAAAAUUGAAGGCAGUAAAAAGAGAAAAAACUAAGAGAAAUAAGGGGGGGAAAACGAUUUCCAUGUCAAGUUCUGUGAUUGGGUUGUAAGCGAUCCAACUUAUCGAAGCUUAGAAAUUUAGCAAGUUCAAAUACAUUCGUUCACCAAAUCUUUAUUCACAAGUCAUACUGCCUUCAUUUUUACUUAUGGAUUCAAUUCAAAUAGUAUCCAAAACAUAUUGUAUGUAAUUUUUGGCACAACUUUGUGCUUCAUUUAUGCAACCUUCUCAAAAGAUUAGUAAGUCUAUUUUUUUUACUGUCGUACUUGCUGACUUAUCCUUAUUAUCAUUUCUCCCUGAUGUGUAAUCAUAAGACCUCUAGGAUUUGGCUAGUGAAAUCUGAAGCCAAUCACUUUUUGUUUUGUUAGUUGGUGUGUCAUGGUGGAUCAUUUUAAAAAUUUGCUCUCCGUUUUAAUUUAUGUGGCAGUGUUAGUGUUAUGAUAUUGUUGCAAGGAUUGGGGCUUGAAUCCCGCACCGGUUAAAUGGGGACUGAUGUGCGGCUUAUAUAGCCUUGCCCUCUCCUACCUAUUGUAUCAAUGGAUUCAGAGUCACUCAUCGCCCUCCGUGCCCAUCGUGCCUGUAUGGCAAUGUUUGGCCGGUGCUAUCAAUGUCUAGACCACAGCCGUUGAGGACGACGGGUGCGGAGCAUGGUGGUUUAUUAUGAUGUUGUUGCAAGGAACUUUAUAGACCUAGCUAGAUAUUUGCUCUUUUUUAAACAAUUCAUAGUUGCCUUGUUAAGAAAAAUAUGUAGUUGGAAUUUCUUAAGGGACUUGAAAUGUUUAGACUUGGGGAAACGGCGAGAUCAUUAGUUGCCCGCUAUUAUAUGCUUGAAAAUGUUUUGUGAGAUAAGUAGUUGAUGUUUUUUGGUGUUAUCAGUUAUGUACCUGUAUUGGUCAGACUUGGGGAAGCAGCUGGAUCAUUAGUUGUCCCCUAUUGUAUGCUUGAAAAUGUUUUGUGAGAUAAGUUGAUGUGUUUGGUGUUAUCAGUUGCGUACCUGUAUUGGUCAAUUCUUAAGAAGCACCUCUUUUCUAUUUCUAGUCAUUGUGCGUGGUAGUUUUGGAUGAAGGUUGUUUGCAAAUGAUUGGCACUUAUAAACAAGCAAAUGCAUUCAGAUGGUUGCACUUGAAUUUGUGUUUGCAUCUUUUUUUUUUGGGGAUAAAUCAAAAUUGAAUGUUGGUUUCGCCUCUUGCAUCACCUGCAUUGUAUCCUUUUGGCUUGAAAAGUCAUCAAGAUAGGUACCUAACUCAUUUGCAUGUUGUAUCUAGAUCCAUCCAUGCUACUGUGCUAAAUAGUUUAAUGGUGAUUGUCUGGUACUUGUGUCCCAAUAGGUAAAUCUUUUUAUGUUGUUUAGGGUUUUGAUGAGUACAUGAAUUUAGUUCUGGAUGAUGCUGAGGAAGUUAAUGUGAAGAAGAAAACCAGAAAGCAGCACUUAUAAACAAGCAAAUGCAUUCAGAUGGUUGCACUUGAAUUUGUGUUUGCAUCUUUUUUCUUUGGGGAUAAAUCAAAAUUGAAUGUUGAUUUCGCCUCUUGCAUCACCUGCAUUGUAUCCUUUUGGCUUGAAAAGUCAUCAAGAUAGGUACCUAACUCAUUUGCAUGUUGUAUUUAGAUCCAUCCAUGCUACUGUGCUAAAUAGUUUAAUGGUGAUUGUCUGGUACUUGUGUCCCAAUAGGUAAAUCUUUUUAUGUUGUUUAGGGUUUUGAUGAGUACAUGAAUUUAGUUCUGGAUGAUGCUGAGGAAGUUAAUGUGAAGAAGAAAACCAGAAAGCAGUUGGGUGGGUGACAAUUGUGUUGACUCUAGCUUUACACCCCCUCUCCUAUUACCAGGGGAACUAACUUUCAUCACCUUUGUGGUUUUAUGCAGGGCGGAUUCUCCUGAAAGGCGAUAAUAUUACUCUGAUGAUGAACACGUAUGUCGUUGUUAUUCUAUUUUUCUGAUGCACUUGUAUCACUGUUUCUGAACAAAUAUAGUGAUUAUAUUUAUGUUACUAUGAUCACUUUUCUUUCCGACUCUCCCUCACCUCCACCUGGGGGUGGGGUAAGGAGUCUUUCUUGCUGAUUUACUCAUUUCAUUUUCGUUUCUUAUGUAGGGGGAAAUAAUUUAUCGUCUGUUGGAGUACGAAAGCUGGUGGCAUCUUGUAUGUGUUCACCAGAUGCAAAUUGAAACCAUGUGACCUCGUGAAUAACAGAAUUGCAUGGCCCCGACUUUCAUUUAGAAUGUGUAUGUAGCUGUAGGUAAUAUUUGACAUGGUUUCGUUGAAACAAGUGCUUUGAUUGUUGUAUGAAGUCUAUUCAUGAAACGUAGGAUCUGGGCUCCUCGUCGCCCUCUCUAUUUCUGCGUUGGUUGAUUGCUCGACUAUUCUUGUCAGCGUACGUUUAGAUUGAAGCUAUUGUUCAUAAAACUCCACUGUCUCUGAUAUCCAGCCUCCCGCACCUCCUCACUAGAGUGUCUGUGCAUCUCCUUUUUACAUUCUCAGAUCAUCUCAAUCCCGCUUCCCUCAUCUUAUUCACUACAGAAGCCAUUCUCACAUUAUCCUGAUUAUUCGUGCAACUGGUAUUAUGUCAUCAUUUCUUGUACUCCUAUGUUACAAUUAAUUGUUAUUGGCAGAUUUGGGGAUGACCUACUCAGUGGUAUUCGGUGAAGUGAAUCAAAUCUGUCUUUUCCUUUAAUCCCCAGCCUAUCCCAAUUUUUUGUUUGAAAUCACUUUGUAAGGAAAUGU